GUCCGCGUGAGGAAAAAACGCCACACGGAGUGGAAACAAGGACACACUCCCUAGAAGCGUUUUAGAG
RNAcentral lists this non-coding RNA (67 nucleotides) under unclassified sequences. RNAcentral's name for it is "Cyano-1 RNA". It matches the Rfam family "Cyano-1 RNA". The record is from RNAcentral. RNAcentral also lists the same sequence under 1 other name.